CUCGGAUACAGCUCGUCGAAGAAAUCAACACGUCGCAAACGUUACAAGAAAAUAUAUUUCUACACCAGUACCGACCGAUGUGGCUGUUAUUUAGCUGUUGAUGUCUAUCCUAAAGGAUUUAUUUAAUACUGAGAUGUGUAACGAGAUAUAGAGAUCUUUUGAUUUCUGAAAUAUCGCAAACUAUGUUGCUUUGUAAACAAUGCUAAUCGGACUGCUGAAACUUCAGAACCAUCCUCAGAGAUACGAAAAACCAGAAUCUGUUGAAACUUGAUGCUCAAGAAAUACGGUAAAAUAAUCCGACAAUAGCCUACUCAAAGAUAAGUGAAAGACUCGUCUGUGCGUGUAUGUUACAAAUACGAAUACUGUAUAUGUUUGACAUUUAGGACAUUUAGAGAAUACAGUCCGCAUGAUAAAAUUGAUAAAUAGCUUUAAUUGUGACAUUAGCUUUACUGUAAUGAAAUUACUUUACUGUAAUAAAGUACUUUGUGAAAUAUAAUACUGAAUCAAACUCUAAGA
Paramuricea clavata is the source of this 516-nucleotide non-coding RNA. NCBI's taxonomy places the organism in Eukaryota, Metazoa, Cnidaria, Anthozoa, Malacalcyonacea, Plexauridae. The record is from the annotation of a GenBank genome assembly.